UUGCCUAUAUGCACUUCAAAAUUUUUGAAAUAUCUCAUUUAUUUUUAUUUUUUUAUUUCAAAUAUAUUGUUUUAUAUAUUUCUUCAUUAUUCAAAAAUAUUCCUACUGUUAGUGCCCGUUAAGUCAUCUCGAAUUAAAUCUGAGUUAAAAUUUUAACAUAGUUAAAAAUAGUGAAAAUAUCUAUUUUGCCCAUAAUUUAAAAGCAAAUAAGAAAAGUUGGUGACUGUAGAAGGGUAUAUUUGGAAAGGCAAAAAAUUAAAAUAUUGUUUUUGCCCCUCACUUAAGUGCAAAUAAAAAAAUUGGUAACGGUAAAAGAGUACAUUUGAAAGGGUAAAAUAGUAAUUUUAAGUUGUUUCUAAUAGUUCACUAACAUAAUUUAACUAUAGGAGUAUAUUUGAAAUACUUUAAAACAUUAAAAGGGUUUUUUUAAUAUUAACCUUCUAGGAGGGGUAAAUAAAAAAGUCAAAAAUUCUUUAGGGGUAUAUAAG
RNAcentral lists this long non-coding RNA (488 nucleotides) under Ananas comosus (pineapple). Its description in RNAcentral is "long non-coding RNA (ACOM_LNC035901)". Lineage: Eukaryota; Viridiplantae; Streptophyta; Magnoliopsida; Poales; Bromeliaceae. The record is from RNAcentral.